UACGAAGGAUGCAAGCGUUAUCCGGAUUUAUUGGGUUUAAAGGGUGCGUAGGCGGACUUAUAAGUCAGUGGUGAAAUCUCGUUGCUUAACAACGAACGUGCCAUUGAUACUGUAGGUCUUGAGUACAGAUGCCGUUGGCGGAAUGUGUCAUGUAGCGGUGAAAUGCAUAGAUAUGACACAGAACACCGAUUGCGAAGGCAGCUGACGAAGCUAUCACUGACACUGAUGCACGAAAGCGUGGGGAGCAAACAGG
Molecule: ribosomal RNA, 253 nt
Filed under: uncultured bacterium
Lineage: Bacteria
Description: partial 16S ribosomal RNA
Rfam family: Bacterial small subunit ribosomal RNA
Source: RNAcentral